Molecule: long non-coding RNA, 1097 nt
Filed under: Suricata suricatta (meerkat)
Lineage: Eukaryota; Metazoa; Chordata; Mammalia; Carnivora; Herpestidae
Description: lncRNA (ENSSSUG00005001857.1)
Source: RNAcentral
CUAUGAAUCACUGUCUCAAGAAUCCGAUCAGAAUGACAAUGAAGCCUUUAUUGAGCCACUACAUUAAGAGAAUAUAUUGCUUUACUGCCUUCAGUACCAGUGUUACGUAAAUGCAUGUGUCAGAAGUCUCAUAGACCUUACAUGACAACUCUUGUAGCUAAGAAAGUGAUUCUGAGGUGUACAUUUGUCUUGCCUUUUUAAAUUUAUAAACCUGCCCUAAAAGGAGAUGCAUAUCUGGGAAACUGAACUGUCUUUCUGCAGUUUAGCCUUCAUGUACAUAAAAUAUGCCAUUAAUUUUAUUGGGGGAGAAAGUCCAUCCAAAAAUGUUGCCUACAGCUAUGAGUUAAGAGUGUCUGUACAGUGUGUAGCUUUUAUUUUCUAAAACCACAGAUAGGGCAUGUAUAUGAAUUAUAAAUAUAUAAAUACGAUUUUGUAUUAAAGUUUUGUAGUUUAUGGCAAAAUCUGGUUCUGUGGUAGGCUAAGUACAGUCCCUGUGAAGGAAUGUUUGUGGCUCAUGUCAGUGUGUGAAUGCAUAGACAAUUUGAAGUUUUUGAUAUAUUUGUGAUAUUUAUCUUCCUUGAGCACUGCAAUCUCACCCCCCCCACCCCCACCCAGGGAAUUCAGUGGGAAUGUUUAUCGUGACUUUGUCCUCUGUUGCAUUUUAAAGUUAUUUCCUGUAAUUUAUUUUCAGUACAUAAUUAAAAAUUUGUUGUAUAUAUAAAAUGAAACUUGUGAUUCUUUUUUAAGGAAUCCUUCAAGUAUGUAUUCCAUUACACAAACCAUAUUUGUUUAUACUGAAAAGAGCAUGAGCAGGAAACACCCAAGCGAGAGCGCUAAGAUCAUCCCAGGAUUUGUUCAAAGCUCUCCCAUGGCCCCUGGGGCCCUGCCACUGGGCAGAGUGGCCCAGGAGGCUUUUUAGAUCUCUAGGGUGUUACAACUUUGCUGUGGCCUUGGCAGUGAUGGAGGAGGGACACUGGGAACACGUUAGAAGACAGGUAUUGAACUGAAAUCAAAUUUACGAGCACACGUGUUUAUUGGGCCUUUGUGCAGGUAUGUUGACGGAGAGUGCUGAGUUGGCGGUGGGGAGGGCUCCCUGA